Molecule: long non-coding RNA, 289 nt
Filed under: Cebus imitator (Panamanian white-faced capuchin)
Lineage: Eukaryota; Metazoa; Chordata; Mammalia; Primates; Cebidae
Description: lncRNA (ENSCCAG00000038215.1)
Source: RNAcentral
GAAAGCCGGAGCUCUCUGGGAUAAAAAUCCAGGAGGCAGCAUGCAACUUUCCCUUAUACUCCAGGGAAACAGAAAAAAGAAAAGGCCAGAAAGGCCGAUGCUGGAAGUAAGAGGAGACCCAGUUCCUCCAAGAAAAAAUAAAAUGAACAGCAUCCUCCAUCAUUCCUAGAUUGUUUCGCUCUGACUGAUAUCACCUGAAAUAGAAGCAUUUUAUUCUGCUGAGACAGUGGAGAGCAGCUGUUUGAUCGCUGACCAGAGAUAACCCUGGAGAGCUUCUAUUUUACAUGCU